This 465-nucleotide ribosomal RNA is filed under the name Vreelandella stevensii. Its description in RNAcentral is "partial 16S ribosomal RNA". It matches the Rfam family "Bacterial small subunit ribosomal RNA", at positions 338 to 795 of the family's 1533-position model. Lineage: Bacteria; Pseudomonadati; Pseudomonadota; Gammaproteobacteria; Oceanospirillales; Halomonadaceae. The record is from RNAcentral.
CCUACAGGGGGCUGCAGUGGGGAAUAUUGGACAAUGGGGGCAACCCUGAUCCAGCCAUGCCGCGUGUGUGAAGAAGGCCCUCGGGUUGUAAAGCACUUUCAGUGAGGAAGAACGCCUGGUGGUUAAUACCCAUCAGGAAAGACAUCACUCACAGAAGAAGCACCGGCUAACUCCGUGCCAGCAGCCGCGGUAAUACGGAGGGUGCGAGCGUUAAUCGGAAUUACUGGGCGUAAAGCGCGCGUAGGUGGCUUGAUAAGCCGGUUGUGAAAGCCCCGGGCUCAACCUGGGAACGGCAUCCGGAACUGUCAAGCUAGAGUGCAGGAGAGGAAGGUAGAAUUCCCGGUGUAGCGGUGAAAUGCGUAGAGAUCGGGAGGAAUACCAGUGGCGAAGGCGGCCUUCUGGACUGACACUGACACUGAGGUGCGAAAGCGUGGGUAGCAAACAGGAUUAGAUACCCCAGUAGUC